This is a long non-coding RNA of Sinocyclocheilus anshuiensis, 1643 nucleotides long. The record is from Ensembl. Lineage: Eukaryota; Metazoa; Chordata; Actinopteri; Cypriniformes; Cyprinidae.
UCGUUAACAUUCUUCCCAAAACCCGCAGAUACGGGGACAGAUCAGCCUGUAGUAACGAUUCUGGUAAGGGGGCGUCAUCCGUUAAACGUGUGCAUUUUGGAUUUGCAAUUCUGCCAUAUAAACGCUCACGACAUCACUGUGAUCUGAAGACGCUCAUAAGGUCAGGCAAUCGGCGAAGAACUGCGAGGACGGGAAAUUAAAUUGAUCCGAAAACCAGUGUCCAAAAAGAAGCUUCCCAAAAAAUGAACAUCUGUUCCAUUGAAUCAGCGCUCCUGUCAACCAGUUGUGGAAAGUAUGUGUGCAUUGAAGGCAGGCGCAGACGCAGGCCCAGUCAAUCUCUUGAGCUGGUCAUGGAAAAUCGACAGGAAAAAGACCUUGAAAACUCAUCUAAAGUCAAGGUGUAUCAUAUUUUGUAUGGAACCAGAAAAUGCAUGGCUUUUUGCUUUGAGGUGAAUAAAAAGUCAGUUUUCCCUGUUGUUACUCAUGGUAAAGAGGUCAAAUUUAAGGUUUUACCCACAGACAAGCCGAUCACGGCAGGAAUCUUUGACCAAACGUUCUUAUUUCAAUGGGAUGAGCAAGACAGGCAUGGAGACUGGAAGAGUUUGAAAUCAGUGGCUGAACCCAGCAUGUACUUGAUUGAUGAAGAAAAUGGCAAAGAAAAGAGCAAAGUGAUCAUCACAAAUGAGCGGAGUCCGAUUUUUAAAAUCUGUUACUCAGAUAUGAAAAUAGCAGAUAAUGGGUUGCAGAGUCUCUGUAGAUCAGGCAAAUUCCAAGAGAACACGAUGAAAACUUCAUGCAGAAAGACCCCCUGGCAAAGACGAGCCUCAAAACAGGGACCUUCUUGCUGCAAGAGAGCAGCACCCACUAAGCCACUGUGCUGCCCUGAAAGGUAACUAUUCUUAUUUGUAGACUUCACGUUUGUAAAGAGCACUGCUAUAAAAAGUGCUAUAUCGUUGUAUAUCGUUUCAGACACCCAAAAAUGCUUUUAAAAAAGUGAAUAACUUAUACCAUAAAGAUAUAAUUUAUGAUUGUCUCAUUGACUGUUCUUUAAAAAACACUUUUGAGCAUAUUUAAACAAGCCUUGAAAUAGUGAGUAGGCUAUUAGUACGCAGUAUCCUCUCCAAUUUCAUUUACUUGCUUUUUAUGCUGAUCAACUUCCAUCGACAUUAACCCUGUAAAGCCUGACAUGAAAUAACAGCCUGAAAAAAAUCACAUUUUUUGAAAUGGAACACUUUGUUGAGCCUUUAGACAAAUAAAAAAAAAGUGUCAGGCUUUUAUGGAAAAAAAGCACCUCAAUUUUAUUUACAGGCUCAAAAAUAUGUAAUUUGGUACAAUUGCUGAUGGAUCAUAUUUGAUACUUGUGAUUUUUCAUGUAUGAAUAAUCAAGUAAACCUAAGUUGCUUAAGUUCAUUAAAGGUGAACUAAGCGAUUUUUGCCAAAUGAUGUUGAUAUUUGAAAGCACCAAAACAAACAUGCCCAUACCCCAACAGGCCCCCGCCCCUAUUUUGAUAACUCCGCCCCACACGUACGUACACAACCCUGCCAGCGACGAUGGCGGUAUCUGCUAUGCCUGCCGACCGCAGCAUAUUCGAACAAAAGCCAACACAGAAUAGUCGUGUGAAAAAGCAAAAUCAAUGUAACUC